This 683-nucleotide ribosomal RNA is filed under the name Clostridium botulinum D/C. RNAcentral's name for it is "partial 23S ribosomal RNA". It matches the Rfam family "Bacterial large subunit ribosomal RNA", at positions 1904 to 2585 of the family's 2925-position model. Lineage: Bacteria; Bacillati; Bacillota; Clostridia; Eubacteriales; Clostridiaceae. The record is from RNAcentral.
GCUAUGAACUUAAGCCCCAGUAAACGGCGGCCGUAACUAUAACGGUCCUAAGGUAGCGAAAUUCCUUGUCGGGUAAGUUCCGACCCGCACGAAUGGCGUAAUGAUUUGCGCACUGUCUCGGCAAUAAAUCCGGUGAAAUUGUAGUGCAAGUGAAGAUGCUUGCUACCCGCGGUUGGACGGAAAGACCCCGUAGAGCUUUACUGUAGCUUAGCAUUGAAUUUCGGUAUUGUCUGUACAGGAUAGGUGGGAGACUUAGAAGCGAGGGCGUCAGCUUUCGUGGAGUCGUCCUUGGGAUACCACCCUGACAGUACUGGAAUUCUAACUGGAGGCCAUGAAUCUGGUCACAGGACAUUGCUAGGUGGGCAGUUUGACUGGGGCGGUCGCCUCCUAAAAGGUAACGGAGGCGCCCAAAGGUUCCCUCAGCGCGGUCGGAAAUCGCGCGUAGAGUGCAAAGGCAGAAGGGAGCCUGACUGCGACACAUACAGGUGGAGCAGGGACGAAAGUCGGGCUUAGUGAUCCGGUGGUUCUGUAUGGAAGGGCCAUCGCUCAACGGAUAAAAGCUACCUCGGGGAUAACAGGCUGAUCUCCCCCAAGAGUCCACAUCGACGGGGAGGUUUGGCACCUCGAUGUCGGCUCGUCGCAUCCUGGGGCUGUAGUCGGUCCCAAGGGUUGGGCUGUUCGCC